GAUGAACGCUGGCGGCGUGCCUAAUACAUGCAAGUAGAACGCUGAAGGAGGAGCUUGCUCUUCUGGAUGAGUUGCGAACGGGUGAGUAACGCGUAGGUAACCUGCCUGGUAGCGGGGGAUAACUAUUGGAAACGAUAGCUAAUACCGCAUGACAACAGUUAUUGCAUGAUAACUGUUUAAAAGGGGCAACUGCUCCACUACCAGAUGGACCUGCGUUGUAUUAGCUAGUUGGUGAGGUAACGGCUCACCAAGGCGACGAUACAUAGCCGACCUGAGAGGGUGAUCGGCCACACUGGGACUGAGACACGGCCCAGACUCCUACGGGAGGCAGCAGUAGGGAAUCUUCGGCAAUGGACGGAAGUCUGACCGAGCAACGCCGCGUGAGUGAAGAAGGUUGUCGGAUCGUAAAGCUCGGUUGUAAGAGAAGAACGAGUGUGAGAGUGGAAAGUUCACACUGUGACGGUAGCUUACCAGAAAGGGACGGCUAACUACGUG
This 495-nucleotide ribosomal RNA is filed under the name uncultured bacterium. Its description in RNAcentral is "partial 16S ribosomal RNA". It matches the Rfam family "Bacterial small subunit ribosomal RNA", at positions 28 to 507 of the family's 1533-position model. The record is from RNAcentral.